GCCCGGGUGGCUCAGUCGGUUGGGCGUCUGACUUUGGCUCAGGUCAUGAUCUCACGGUUCCUGAGUUCAAGCCUCACAUCGGGCU
Molecule: transfer RNA, 85 nt
Organism: Felis catus (domestic cat)
Lineage: Eukaryota; Metazoa; Chordata; Mammalia; Carnivora; Felidae
Rfam family: tRNA
About the family: Transfer RNA (tRNA) molecules are approximately 80 nucleotides in length. Their secondary structure includes four short double-helical elements and three loops (D, anti-codon, and T loops). Further hydrogen bonds mediate the characteristic L-shaped molecular structure. tRNAs have two regions of fundamental functional importance: the anti-codon, which is responsible for specific mRNA codon recognition, and the 3' end, to which the tRNAs corresponding amino acid is attached (by aminoacyl-tRNA synthetases). tRNAs cope with the degeneracy of the genetic code in two manners: having more than one tRNA (with a specific anti-codon) for a particular amino acid; and 'wobble' base-pairing, i.e. permitting non-standard base-pairing at the 3rd anti-codon position.
Source: Rfam